UACGAAGGGGGCUAGCGUUGUUCGGAAUUACUGGGCGUAAAGGGCGCGUAGGCGGCGUGUCAAGUCAGGCGUGAAAGCCCCGGGCUCAACCUGGGAAUGGCGAUGGAGACUGCAAGGCUAGAAUCUGGCAGAGGGGGGUAGAAUUCCACGUGUAGCAGUGAAAUGCGUAGAGAUGUGGAGGAACACCGAUGGCGAAGGCAGCCCCCUGGGUCAAGAUUGACGCUCAUGCACGAAAGCGUGGGGAGCAAACAGG
RNAcentral lists this ribosomal RNA (253 nucleotides) under uncultured bacterium. RNAcentral's name for it is "partial 16S ribosomal RNA". It matches the Rfam family "Bacterial small subunit ribosomal RNA", at positions 524 to 776 of the family's 1533-position model. The record is from RNAcentral.